This 506-nucleotide ribosomal RNA is filed under the name uncultured bacterium. Its description in RNAcentral is "partial 16S ribosomal RNA". It matches the Rfam family "Bacterial small subunit ribosomal RNA", at positions 29 to 523 of the family's 1533-position model. The record is from RNAcentral.
AGUGAACGCUGGCGGCAGGCCUAAUACAUGCAAGUCGAACGGCAGCACAGCAGAGCUUGCUCUGUGGGUGGCGAGUGGCGGACGGGUGAGGAAUACGUGGGAAUCUGCCCAGUCGUGGGGGAUAACGUAGGGAAACUUACGCUAAUACCGCAUGCGCCCUUUGGGGGAAAGCCGGGGAUCUUCGGACCUGGCGCGAUUGGAUGAGCCCACGUCGGAUUAGCGAGUUGGAGGGGUAAAGGCCCACCAAGGCGACGAUCCGUAGCUGGUCUGAGAGGAUGAUCAGCCACACUGGAACUGAGACACGGUCCAGACUCCUACGGGAGGCAGCAGUAGGGAAUAUUGGACAAUGGGCGCAAGCCUGAUCCAGCCAUGCCGCGUGAGUGAAGAAGGCCCUCGGGUUGUAAAGCUCUUUUGUUGGGGAAGAAAAGCCUUGGGUUAAUACCCUGGGGUUCUGACGGUACCCAAAGAAUAAGCACCGGCUAACUUCGUGCCAGCCGCCGCAGUAA